UUUGCAUAUUCCAAAAAGCGGAGGAAAAGAAACCAACAGGGAUUGCCUCAGUAACGGCGAGUGAAGCGGCAACAGCUCAAAUUUGAAAUCUGGCCUCUUGGGGUCCGAGUUGUAAUUUGUAGAGGAUGUUUCGGGUACCGCCUCGGUUUAAAUUUCUUGGAACAGAAUGUCAAAGAGGGUGAGAAUCCCGUCUUGGACCGGCGGUAGGGCCUAUGUGAAACUCCUUCGACGAGUCGAGUUGUUUGGGAAUGCAGCUCAAAAUGGGUGGUAAAUUUCAUCUAAAGCUAAAUAUUGGCCAGAGACCGAUAGCGCACAAGUAGAGUGAUCGAAAGAUGAAAAGCACUUUGAAAAGAGAGUUAAACAGUAUGUGAAAUUGUUGAAAGGGAAGCGCUUGCAACCAGACUUGAGCGCGGCGGUUCCCCCUUGCUUCUGCUUGGGUUACUCCGCCGUGUCCAGGCCAACAUCGGUUCUGGGGGUCGGUCAAAGGCUCUGGGAAUGUAUCUACCCACGGGUAGACUUAUAGACCAGGGUGUCAUGCGACCUCCCGGGACCGAGGAACGCGCUUCGGCUCGGAUGUUGGCGUAAUGGUUGUCAGCGACCCGUCUUGAACCCCCGGACCAAA
This 622-nucleotide ribosomal RNA is filed under the name Fonsecaea pedrosoi. RNAcentral's name for it is "LSU rRNA". It matches the Rfam family "Eukaryotic large subunit ribosomal RNA", at positions 35 to 670 of the family's 3401-position model. The record is from RNAcentral. Lineage: Eukaryota; Fungi; Ascomycota; Eurotiomycetes; Chaetothyriales; Herpotrichiellaceae.